RNAcentral lists this ribosomal RNA (996 nucleotides) under uncultured bacterium. RNAcentral describes it as "bacterial SSU rRNA". It matches the Rfam family "Bacterial small subunit ribosomal RNA", at positions 8 to 1034 of the family's 1533-position model. The record is from RNAcentral.
AGAGUUUGAUCCUGGCUCAGAAUCAACGCUGGCGGCGUGCCUAACACAUGCAAGUCGAACGAGAAAGUGGAGCAAUCCAUGAGUAAAGUGGCGCACGGGUGAGUAACACGUGACUAACCUACCCUUGAGUGGGGGAUAACCUGGGGAAACCUUGGCUAAUACCGCAUAACACCUACGGGUCAAAGGAGCAAUUCGCUUAAGGAGGGGGUCGCGGCAGAUUAGUUAGUUGGCGGGGUAAUGGCCCACCAAGACAGUGAUCUGUAUCCGGCCUGAGAGGGCGCACGGACACACUGGAACUGAAACACGGUCCAGACUCCUACGGGAGGCAGCAGUGGGGAAUUUUGCGCAAUGGGGGAAACCCUGACGCAGCAACGCCGCGUGGAGGAUGAAGUCCCUUGGGACGUAAACUCCUUUCGACCGGGACGAUUAUGACGGUACCGGAAGAAGAAGCCCCGGCUAACUUCGUGCCAGCAGCCGCGGUAAUACGAGGGGGGCGAGCGUUGUUCGGAAUUAUUGGGCGUAAAGGGUGCGUAGGCGGUUCGGUAAGUUUUGUGUGAAAUCUUCGGGCUCAACUCGAAACCUGCACAAAAUACUGCCGGGCUUGAGUGUGGGAGAGGUGAGUGGAAUUUCCGGUGUAGCGGUGAAAUGCGUAGAUAUCGGAAGGAACACCUGUGGCGAAAGCGGCUCACUGGACCACAACUGACGCUGAUGCACGAAAGCUAGGGGAGCAAACAGGAUUAGAUACCCUGGUAGUCCUAGCCCUAAACGAUGAUCGCUUGGUGUGACGGGUACCCAAUCCCGCCGUGCCGCAGCUAACGCGUUAAGCGAUCCGCCUGGGGAGUACGGUCGCAAGGCUGAAACUCAAGGAAUUGACGGGGGCCCGCACAAGCGGUGGAGCAUGUGGUUUAAUUCGACGCAACGCGAAGAACCUUACCUGGGCUCGAAAUGAAGUGGACCGGAGUAGAAAAUAUUCCUUCCCCGCAAGGGGCCGCUAUG